UACUUAGUGGCAGACGGGUGAGUAACAUGUGGGUAUCUACCCUUUGGCCUGGAAUAACACGAGGAAACUUGUGCUAAUACCGGAUAAGUCUUUACGGAGAAAGCUUUAUGCACCAUUGGAUGAGCCCGCACUUGAUUAGUUUGUUGGUAGGGUAAUGGCCUACCAAGACUAUGAUCAAUAGCUGAUUUGAGAGGAUGAUCAGCCACAUUGGGACUGAGACACGGCCCAAACUCCUACGGGAGGCAGCAGUGGGGAAUCUUGCACAAUGGAGGAAACUCUGAUGCAGCGAUGCCGCGUGAGUGAAGAAGGCCUUUGGGUUGUAAAGCUCUUUCGUCGGGGAAGAAAAUGACUGUACCCGAAUAAGAAGGUCCGGCUAACUUCGUGCCAGCAGCCGCGGUAAUACGAAGGGACCUAGCGUAGUUCGGAAUUACUGGGCUUAAAGAGUUCGUAGGUGGUUGAAAAAGUUGGUGGUGAAAUCCCAGAGCUUAACUCUGGAACUGCCAUCAAAACUUUUCAGCUAGAGUAUGAUA
This 530-nucleotide ribosomal RNA is filed under the name uncultured Pelagibacterales bacterium. Its description in RNAcentral is "bacterial SSU rRNA". It matches the Rfam family "Bacterial small subunit ribosomal RNA", at positions 89 to 653 of the family's 1533-position model. The record is from RNAcentral. Lineage: Bacteria; Pseudomonadati; Pseudomonadota; Alphaproteobacteria; Candidatus Pelagibacterales.